This 1165-nucleotide unclassified non-coding RNA is filed under the name Baccharis aliena. RNAcentral's name for it is "external transcribed spacer". Lineage: Eukaryota; Viridiplantae; Streptophyta; Magnoliopsida; Asterales; Asteraceae. The record is from RNAcentral.
AGGUGAGAGCUGGUUGGAAAUGGGGCAAAGUCACGAGUUGGCCUUUGUGCCUGGCUUAUGGUGUCUUUAACUUGAUGUUGAAGGCCUCAUAAGCUGCUCCCGAGUGGGGACUUCGAUUUUGGUGAUACCAUAUCGAACGAACUGCGACAACGCCUUGAUCUAGAUCAAGGCGGGAUCAUGUUUACAUGAUUAUCCUAGGAUGGUGCAGAAAGCUGGAUGGCAAGUGGGCAAGGCACGACGUGUCUUUUGCCCGACCGUCAAAAGGUGAUCGUAGGCCGCCAUCCGAGUGGUACCCGGUUUUAUUUGUGGUCAGGCCACACCGGGAAAACUGCGAAAACGUGAUGAUCUAAUCGUUUGUAGAUGCAAUCUUGUCGAAAGGCACGUCGAUUGUUGAGAACGUUCCUAGAUUUGAUCGGUAAUCAUGUUCUUAUGUGAUUAUGAUCAUGAUAGCCAUGAUCAACCUAGGUUUGUGCUAACUGCUGUAUGGCUUGGAUGAGGGCAAGAGACACAACGUGUGGCCUUUUGUAGGAUUGACGUGUGCCUCUUUUCCGACCAUUAUACAGCGAUCGUAAGACGCAUUCCUAGUGGAGGCCUUCUUGUGGUGGGUUAUGUUUAGAUCGGUUCUCUUCGUAUCGUGCGGUACAUUUUGGGGUCGUCUUUGGCUUUCGGUUGUUUGCUUGGCUCCUUAGCCUUGCGGGUGGCUGUUUGCCAGGGCGGCUUCGGGGAUGUCUAUCGUAAAGGUGCAUGAGUGGUGUUUGGUUUGAUACGGGUGGUUGGCUCCCUGCUUGAGUAGGCACGGCCACGCGUACAUUCCUUUUCAGUUGUGCGGCAAGGCUUGUAUCGUCUUGGUCGUACGUGUGGGUUUCCUGUGUUGCAUACCUGAUCAAUGGCAUCGUUUUGAUCAAAAAUGUACCUUUUUCGUCGGGCGUUGCACCUGCGAUGUCGGAUGAACCUUGAGGCAUCAUCUUUGACCCAUAUAGUCAAUGAGCAUUUGUUGAUUGUAUGGUCCAUUGAUGGUGUUUGGUAUCUCGAAUAUGGAAGCCAAAGUGGGCAUGGGUUCGUAUGAUCCUUUUAUUGCCCUCGUUGAGCGUUCUCGCUUCUCUUAUACGACCGCCUUUCACGUAUGGCAYGUCCCAGCGUGUUUGGCUAUGUCGAAGAGGAAUGC